GGACUACCGGGGUUUCUAAUCCUGUUUGCUCCCCACGCUUUCGUGCAUGAGCGUCAGUACUGGCCCAGGAGGCUGCCUUCGCCAUCGGUGUUCCUCCACAUCUCUACGCAUUUCACUGCUACACGUGGAAUUCCACCUCCCUCUGCCGUACUCUAGCUUCGCAGUCUCAAAUGCCAUUCCCAGGUUAAGCCCGGGGAUUUCACAUCUGACUUACGAAACCACCUGCGCACGCUUUACGCCCAGUAAUUCCGAUUAACGCUCGCACCCUACGUAUUACCGCGGCUGCUGGCAC
This 292-nucleotide ribosomal RNA is filed under the name uncultured bacterium. RNAcentral describes it as "partial 16S ribosomal RNA". RNAcentral also lists the same sequence under 1 other name. The record is from RNAcentral.